UAAAAUUUGCUAUUUUUGGAAAGGUCCCACUUUUUUUGAAGAAAAAAUGUAGAAUUUAGAUUGUGAUUUAGAAACUAGGAUAACAAGAAUAUUUGUUGAUAGAUGAGUAUUCUGUUAAAAUGUUUGAUCAAUAGGUUGUAUUUUGCAAAUAAACAUUUAACCAAUUUUAUUUUUGGAAAGUUAAUAUUUUUUUAGAGAAAAUAAUGUAGUUUUGGGAUUGUGAUUAAGAAAUUAGGAUAACAAGAAUAUUUGUUGAUAGAUAAGUAUUCUUUAAGAUUUUUUUAUCAAAAGGUUGUAUUUUAAAUAAAAAUUUAAAAUUUCUAUUUUAGGAAACUUAUCAUUUUUAGAGAAAAUAAUGUAAAUUUGGGAUUUUGAUUUAGAAACUAGGGUUACAAGAAUAUUUGUUGAUAGAUGAGUAUUAUUUUAGAAUAUGUGAUCAAUAUGUUAUAGUUUUUUAAAUAAACUUUUUAAAAUUUGUAAUUUUUGGAAAUUUAUCACUUUUUGGGAUUGUGGUUUAGAAACUAGGAUAACAAGAAUAUUUUUUUUAAUAAAUGAGCAUUCUUUGAAGUUUUUGAUCAGUAUGUUGUAUUUUAUUAAAUAAAUUUCUAAAAGUUUCUAUUUUUGAAAAUUUAUCACUUUUUUCAGAAAAUAAUGUAGAUUUGAUAUUGAGAUUAGAAAUUAGGGUAACAAGAAUAUAUGUUGAUAGAUGACUAUUCUUUUAGAAUUUUUAAUCAAUAAGUUGUAUAUUUUUAAUAAACUUUUAAAAAAUUAUAUUUUUAGAGAGUUAUCACUUUUUUGAGAAAAAAUAUGUAGAAUUUAAAUUGUGAUUUAGAUAUUAGGAUAACAAGAAUAUUUGUUGAUUGAUGAGUAUUAUUUAAAAAAAAAAUUGAUCAAUAGGUUGUAGUUUUUCUAUAAACUUUUAAAAAAAAAUUAUUUUUUGAAAGUUAAUACUUUUUUGAGAAAAUAAUGUAGAUUUGAGAUUGUGAUUAAGAAAUUAGAAUAACAGAAUAUUUGUUGAUCGAUGAGUAUUCUUAUACAGUUUUUGAUCAAUAGAUUAUAUUUUCACUAAUAAACUUUAAAAAAAAAAUUCUAUUUUUGGAAAAUUAUCACUUUUUUUAGAUAACACAAUGUACAUUUGAGAUUACGAUUUAUAAAUUAGGUUAAUAAGAGUAUUUGAUGAAAGAUGAGUAUUUUUUUAAAAAAGAAUUAACAAUAGGUUGUAUUUUUAUUUUAAAAUUUCUAUUUUAGGAAAGUUAUCACUUUUUUUGUAAAAAUAUAUUAGAUUUUUAUUGUGAUUUAGAAAUUAAGAAAAAAAAUUAUUGUUGAUAGAUGAGUAUUGUUUAAGAAUUUUCGAUCAAUAGGUUGUAUUCUUUAAAUAAAGUUUUAAAAUUUUCUAUUUUUGAAAAGUUAUCAUUUUUUAGAGAAAUAUUUAAAAUUUGGUAUUGUGAUUUAGAAAUUAGGAUAACAUGAAAAUUUGUUAAUAAGUGAGCAUUCUUUGGACUUUUUGAUCAGUAUGUUGUGUUUUUUAAAUAAAUUUUUAAAAGUUUCUAUUUUUGGAAAGUUAUCACUUUUUAGAGAAAUAUUUAAUAUUUGAGAUUGUGAUUUAAAAAUUAGGAUAACAAGAACAUUUGUUAAUAAAUGAGUAUGUUGUAUUUUUUGAAUAAACUUUUAAAAGUUUCUAUUUUGAAAAAUUAUUUUUUUUUUUACAGAAAAUAAUGUAGAUUUGAUAUUAAGAUUAGAAACUAGGGUAACAAGACUAUUUCUUAAUUGAUGAGUAUUUUUUAGAAUUUUUAAUCAAUAGAUUGGAUAUUUUUAAUAAACUUUUAAAAUUUUCUAUUUUUGGAGAGUUAUCACCUUUUAUAGAGAAAAAAUAUAGAAUUUAGAUUGUGAUUUAGAACCUAGAAUAACAAGAAUAUUUGUUGAUAGAUGAGUAUUAUUUAAAAAAAAAUUGAUCACUAGGUUGUAGUCUUUCAAUAAACAUUUAAUCAGAAUAUUUCAAAAUUCUAAAUUUUGAUCAAAAAGCACAAUAUUUAAGAAAAAUAUUUAAAAUUACAAUCAAUUGAUGAGUAAUUCUGAAAAAAUACUCAACUGUCCUAAAAUAUUUUUCUUAUCUUAAUUUCUAAAUCACAAACUCAAAUGUACAAUAUUUUUCUAUAAAAUGAAAGCAUACAAAAAUAGUUGUUUUUAAGAAAAUUAUUUAAAAAUAUAACACAUUGAUGAAACAUUCAUAAAGAAUAUUCAUCUAUCCACAAAUAUUCUUGUUAUCCUAAUUACUAAAUCACAAACCCAAAUCUAAAAUAUUUCUCUAAAAAAUUAAAAUUUUCCAAAAAAUAUUAUAUUUUACAAAAAUGAUUAAAAAUACAACCUAUUGAUGAAAAUUUCUGAAAGAAUACUCAUAUAUCCAUAAAAUUCUUGUUAUACUAAUUUCUAAAUCAUAAAACCCAAAUCUACAAUAUUUCCCUAAUAAAUGAAAAUUUUCCAAAAAACUGCUUUUAGGAAAAUUAUUUAAAAUACAACUUGUCGAUGAAAAUUUCUAUAAGAAUACUCCACUAUCUACAAACGUUCUUGUUAUCUUAAUUUUUAAACCACAAACUCAAAUCAACAAUAUUUCUCUAUAAAAAUAUAAACUUUCCAAAAAAUAGCAGUUUUUAAGAAAAUUACUUAAAAAUUCAAUCUAUUGAUAAAAACUCUGAAAGAAUACUCAUAUAUCCACAAAUAUUCUUGUUAUCUUAUUUUUGAGUUAUAAACCCAAAUCUAUAAUAUUUCUCUAAAAAAUAAAAACUUUCCAAAAAUAGUAGUAAUUAAGAAAAUUAUAUAAAAAUACAACAUAUUGAUGAAAUAUUAUGUAAGAAUACUCAACUAUCCACAAAUAUUCUUGUUAUCCUAAUUUCUAAAUUACAAACCUAAAUCAAAAAUAUUUUUCAAAAAAUAAAAACUUUCCUAAAAUAGCAGCUUUUAGGAAAAUUAUUUAAAAUACAACAUAUUGAUGAAAAAUUCUUAAAGAGUAUUCAUCAAUAUGUUGUAUUUUUAAAUAAUUUUCUUAAAAACUAUUAUUUUUAGAAAGUUUACAAUUUUUUUUAGAGAAAUAUUAUAGAUUUGAAUUUGUGGUUUAAAAAUUAGGAUAACAAGAAUAUUUGAGGAUAGUUGAGUAUUCUCUUACAAAUUUUCGUCAAUAAGUUGUAUUUUAUAUAAUUUUCUUAAAAAACCUAUUUUUGGAAAAUUUUCAUUUUUUAGAGAAAUAUUGUAGAUUUUGGUUUGUGAUUUAAAAAUUUGGAUAACAAGAAUAUUUGUGGAUAUAUGAGUAUUAUUUAAGAUUUUUUGAUCAAUGUGUUGUAUUUUAAAAUAAUUUUCUUAAAAACAGCUAUUUUUGGAAAGUUUUCAUUUUAUAGAUAAAUAUUGUAGAUUUGGGUUUGUGAUUUAGAAAUUAGGAUAACUAGACUAUUUGUGGACAGAUGAAUACUCUUUAAGAAUUUUUCAUCAAUAUGUUAUAUUUUCAAAAAAAAAUUUAAAAACGGCCAUUUUUGAAAAGUUUUCAUUUUUCAGAGAAAUAUUAUAGAUUUGGGUUUGUGAUUUAUAAAUUAGGAUAACAAGAAUAUUUGUGGAGAGAUGAGUAUUUUUCGGAGUUUUUCAUCAAUAGGUUGUAUUUUUAAAUAAUUUUCUUAAAAACUGAUAUUUUUGGAAAGUUUUCAUUUUUUUAGAGAAUUAUUGUAGAUUUGAGUUUGUGGUUUAAUAAUUAAGAUAACAAGAAUAUAUGUGGAUAGUUGAGUAUUAUUUAAGAAAUAUUGUAUUGUAGAUUUGGAAAGUUUUCAUUUCUUUGAUAAAUAUUGUAGAUUUGGAUUUGAGAUUUAGAAAUUAGGAUAACUAUACUAUUUGUGGACAGAUGAAUACUCUUUAUGAAUUUUUUAUCAAUAUGUUGUAUUUUUUAAUAAUUUUCUUAAAAACUGCUAUUUUUGGAAAAUUUUUAUUUUAUAGAUAAAUAUUAUAGAUUUAGAUUCGUGAUUUAGAAAUUAUGAUAACUAGACUAUUUGUGGACAAAUGAAUACUCUUCAAAAAUGUUUUAUCAAUAUGUUGUAUUUAUAAAUAAUUUUCAUAAAAACUGCUAUUUCUAGAAAGUUUUCAUUUUAUAGAUAAAUAUUGUAGAUUUGAGUUUGUGAUUUAGAAAUUAUGAUAACUAUACUAUUUGUGGACAGAUGAAUACUCUUUAGGAAUUUUUUAUCAAUAUGUUGUAUUUUUUAAUAAUUUUCUUAAAAACUGCUAUUUUUGGAAAGUUUUCAUUUUAUAGAUAAAUAUUGUAGAUUUGAAGUUUGUGAUUUAGAAAUUAGGAUAACACGAAUAUCUGUGGAUAGUUAUCCUUUAGAAAUUUUCAUCAAUAUGUUGUACUUUUGAAUAAUUUUCUUAAAAACAACUAUUUUUGGAAAGUUUUCAUUUUUUAGAGAAAUAUUGUAGAUUUGAGUUUGUGGUUUAAAAAUUAAGAUAACAAGAAUAACUGUGUAUAGUUGAGUAUUGUUUUAGAAAUUUUCAUCAACAAGUUGUAUUUUAAAUAAGUUUCUUAAAAACUUCUAUUUUUGGAAAGUUUUCAUUUUUAGAGAAGUAUUGUAGAUUUAGGUUUGUGAUUUAAAAAUUAGGAUAACAAGAAUAUUUGUGGAUAGAGGAAUAUUAUUUAAGAAUUUUUCAUCAAUGUGUUGUAUUUUUAAAUAAUUUUCUUAAGAACUGCUAUUUUUGAAAAGUUUCCAUUUUUAGAUAAAUAUUGUAGAAUUGGGGUUUGUGAAUAACAAGAAUAUUUGUGGAUAGAUGAGUAUUUUUUUGGAGUUUUUCAUCAAUAGGUUGUAUUUUUAAAUAAUUUUAUUAAAAGUUGCUAUUUUUUGGAAACUUUACAUUUUUUAGAGAAAUAUUGUAGAUUUGAGUUUGUGGUUUAUAAUUAAGAUAACAAGAAUAUUUGUUGAUAGUUGAGUACUCUUUAAGAAAUUUUCAUCAUUGUGUCGUAUUUUUUAAAAAAAUUCUUAAAAACUACUAUUUUUAAGUUUACAUUUUUUAGAAAAAUAUUGUAGAUUGGAGUUUGUGGUUUAAAAAUUAAUAUAACAAGUAUAUUUGUGAAUAAUUGGGUAUUCUUUUAGAAAAUUUCAUAAACAAGUUGUAUUUUAAAUAAUUUUCUUUAAAGCUGCUAUUUUUAGAAAAAAAUCAUUUACUAAAGAAAUAUUGUUGAUUUGGGUUUUGUGAUUUAGAAAUUAGGAUAACAAGAAUUUUAUGGAUAGAUGAGUAUUACUUCAGAAUUUUUCAACAAUAGGUUAUAUUUUUAACCAUUUUUGUAAAACCUGCUAUUUUUGGAAAGUUUUAAUUUUAUAGAUAAAUAUUGUAGAUCUGGGUUUGUGAUUUAGAAAUUAUGAUAACUAGACUAUUUUUUGACAGAUGAAUAUUCUUUAAGAAUAUAUCAUCAAUAUAUGGUAUUUUUAAAUAAUUUUCAUAAAAACUGGUAUUUUUGGAAAUUUUUCAUUUUUUAGAGAAAUGUUGAAGAUUUGAGUUUGUGAUUUAGAAAUUAGAGUAACAAGAAUAUUUGUGGAUAGAUGAGUAUUGUUUCGGAGUUUUUCAUCAAUUGGUUGUAUUUUUAAAUAAUUUUCUUAAAAACUGCUAUUUGUGGAAAGUUUACAUUUUUUUAGAGAAAUACUGUAGAUUUGAGUUUGUGGUUUAAAAAUUAAGAUAACAAAAAUAUUUGUGGAUAGAUAAGUAUUAUUUAAGAAUUUUUCAUCAAUGUAUUGUAUUUUUAAAUAAUUUUCUUAAAAACUGCUAUUUUUGGAAAGUUUUCAUUUUUUAGAGAAAUAUUGUAGAUUUGGGUUUGCGAUUUAGAAAUUAGGAUAACUAGACUAUUUGUGGACAGAUGAAUACUCUUUAA
RNAcentral lists this long non-coding RNA (5887 nucleotides) under Brassica napus (rape). Its description in RNAcentral is "long non-coding RNA (BNAP_LNC012767)". Lineage: Eukaryota; Viridiplantae; Streptophyta; Magnoliopsida; Brassicales; Brassicaceae. The record is from RNAcentral.